GGGAAAAUGUGAAGGUUGCACAUUUCAUGGUGCAGACAAUGGGGGAGAACAGGAACUCUCACAUUACAGGCAGAAGUGUUCACAACCAGCGCAUUGAGCGCCUGUGGAGGGAUGUAUAUGAAAACGUCCUUGACCUUUUCUACACAAUCUUCACCCAGCUGGAGAUUCAAGGACUGCUCAACCCUGGAAGCAUGGAAUCAGCACGGACUCAGAACAGCAAACAACCAUUCACCUCUGCAACUCUGGCUGCUGCACAGGAA
Molecule: long non-coding RNA, 260 nt
Organism: Pelmatolapia mariae (spotted tilapia)
Lineage: Eukaryota; Metazoa; Chordata; Actinopteri; Cichliformes; Cichlidae
Exons: 3
Source: RefSeq, a predicted model, not a curated record